RNAcentral lists this microRNA (22 nucleotides) under Tetranychus urticae (two-spotted spider mite). RNAcentral's name for it is "tur-miR-7-3p". Its record names the gene tur-miR-7-3p. Lineage: Eukaryota; Metazoa; Arthropoda; Arachnida; Trombidiformes; Tetranychidae. The record is from miRBase by way of RNAcentral.
ACAAGAAAUCGCUAGCUUCCGA